Molecule: long non-coding RNA, 1815 nt
Organism: Bos taurus (domestic cattle)
Lineage: Eukaryota; Metazoa; Chordata; Mammalia; Artiodactyla; Bovidae
Source: Ensembl
UCCAUAGUUUGCUCCCAUGAUUAGCUCUACUUUAAUCCUCAUGUACACAGUUCCUUCUGAGACUACAAAAGCCCCAGUCUUGUCCAGCUGCCAUCCCUCCCCUCUAAGCUUGCUUUUGGCUGGAUUGUGCUGCUUCUGAAGAUGUAUUAUAAUUUAGUGUUCUGGUUGAAAAGGCAAAGUCUAAUCAGUGAUCUGAAGUGAUGGUAAACAGAAUCCUCAUCCUACCAACCACCGUGGCUACAAAUAGGAUGAGGGAGAGUUGUGGCAGUCAGAACAUCAGUGAAGGAGGCAAAGGCGAUGCGAAUACUCUCAUAAUGGAGUGAAGAUGCAAACGUUGUUAGAACAGGACUUUCAAGUAGGAACUGGUAAACAAAAGCACUUUUUCCCACCAGGCUCUCUGUCCAUGGGAUUUCCCAGGCAAGAAUACUGGAGUGGGUUGCCAUGCCCUUCUCCAGGUGAUCUUCCUGACCCAGGGAUCAAACCCAUGUCUCCUGGAUUGCAGAACAUCUGGAAAACUCAGCAGUUCAUUUUUCAAAUUACAUUUCACAGGCUGUCUUGAAUUCAAAGAAGCAUCAAGAUCUUUUGAUGGAUCUUGUUUCAGAAUUUGGGUGAAGAACUAUGAUCGCUGUAUCACAGGUGCUCCCUUUCUGUGACACCAAGUCUCACAGGUUUUUAUUUCCGGACACCAGAAGGUCCAUCACUGGUUUACAUGAAAAGGUUUCUUUUCAAAGCUCCUGACCCCAUUACUACUGUGGAAACAAAAUAAAGCAAACUCCUGAAUCUAGUGCUUCAGACAUCAAUCCAGGAUUAAUUCAGGAUCAGGAAAUAAGAUAAUUCAGUUUUAGUGACACUGUAUUGAGUAAGAAUAAACAGUUCACUGGUCAGAGGAGAGAAAGAUUUCAAGUAUCUUGCUAGUUGGAACAAAGUAAUUUUCCCUUGCUGAACAUGUUUGGCCUUUUUCAAAGUUAACAAUGUUCUUGCAGCGUUCCUUCUGGAAAUUGUUAGUGUCUGUGCAAUCUCUAAAGCUCCCAACUACCCACAAAAUUAAAGGAGGUGGUGUUUGUUUGGGCACCUACAUUGUAUCAGGCACUACUAAAUACCUUAUGCAUGUUACUUCAUUUGAUCAUCAAAAUUGCUUUAAAAUAUAUGAUGAGUACUUCACUCUGAUCUUUGAGGACUUCUGGAGUCUGAUCUCAAUUUACUUUUCGAGUCUACUUCUCCCCAACAUGUAACAUAGGGCUAUUUCAUCCUAACUGAAGUAUUUGCCAUUCCCAAAAUAUACACACUCUUGAUUUUUCAUAUCUAUGACUGUUAUUCUGUAUGAGUCAAUGUGUCUCUGUCUGUGAACAAUAACCACUUACUUUGCGCUCCCUCUUCUCUCUCACAACUGAACCCUGCAAUCUAGGUGAAUGCCAUCUGCUUAAAAAAUCUGUUUUGUGUACUGCUCAACUGAAUGCUGUGUUCUAUUCAACUCAAAAUAUAUGUAUUGAGUCGAACUGAAUUCAUAUAUUGUCUGUUUAAAAUACAAGUUUGAAAGAAAUGAACUCCUAAGAAGUGAUGUAAAUAUGUAAACACAGAGAAUGCCUAUUGGGGAAGGCUAUUGCUGAAAUGUAUUUGGAUGCAUUUUGGGUUCUGAUAGAGACAAAGAAGGUACAUUUUAAGAAGAAUGCACAAAGAGUGAUGAACUAAUAACUGAAUUUUCUGGUCUUUCUAAUUUUAUAAUGCUGUCACUCACAGUUAAAACAGAGACAGAUCCUAUUUCAUAAAGACUUGGCUAAUUUUAGGUUUCACUGGUUCAUUAAAAGAGAAUGACAG